AUACGGAGGGUGCAAGCGUUGUUCGGAAUUACUGGGCGUAAAGAGCGCGUAGGUGGCUUUGUAAGUCGGAUGUGAAAGCCUUCUGCUCAACAGGAGAAUUGCAUCUGAAACUGCAAGGCUUGAGUACGAGAGAGGGAAGUGGAAUUCCCGGUGUAGCGGUGAAAUGCGUAGAUAUCGGGAAGAACACCAGUGGCGAAGACGACUUCCUGGAUCGAUACUGACACUGAGGCGCGAAAGCGUGGGGAGCAAACAGGAUUAGAUACCCCAGUAGUCC
Molecule: ribosomal RNA, 274 nt
Filed under: uncultured bacterium
Lineage: Bacteria
Description: partial 16S ribosomal RNA
Rfam family: Bacterial small subunit ribosomal RNA
Source: RNAcentral